Molecule: long non-coding RNA, 1025 nt
Organism: Bombus terrestris (buff-tailed bumblebee)
Lineage: Eukaryota; Metazoa; Arthropoda; Insecta; Hymenoptera; Apidae
Exons: 2
Source: RefSeq, a predicted model, not a curated record
UGUGGAUAAGUGUCAAUAUCGGAAGACCAGCGCGAUGUCUGAUCCGAUGGUUUAUCUACAAGGAUAUUUCUAAAAAAAGAAAAAGAAAAUAUUAUUUUAAUACUUGGCGAAAAAUCCGGCGUUAGAGAAUCAUUACCAUGUAAUAACUGAUUUUUGUUUUAUAAUUACGAAAUGUAUUCAAAGGAAAAUCGUUUAAAUACUAGUAAAGUACUUACUCUGGCACAUAGGAUGAAGAAAAACUGGAGCAUUUAUAAAUUUUGAACUCCAAAACUUUUUGAAAAUUGCUACUCUCGUUGGACGCCAUGUUACACAAAUGACAUAAGCUUUAACACUAAAUACAUAUGUGUACCAUUUUUAUAGAUACAUAUCUAAGGACGAGUGCUGUAUGAAAACAUGACCCGGUGAACGAUUUAAUGUCCUUAAUGUAUAAUUUAAUUUUGCAGUUAAUUGUAAUUAAGUUUCAUUUAAAUAAAUUUCAGUUGAAAUUUUUAAUAUUUUAAGACAGUCUAUUCUCUAUUUGUGUACAACCUUUAUUAAAACAUAGAACACUAUUUGUAAAAUUCAAAUUACAUAUUUGUAAUAAAUGUAGAUAUAACGCUUCAGGACUUUUUAUUAUUUACACUAAAUUAACGAAUUCAUAAAUACAUAUAUUCUAUUCUCUCAUGUAUAUUUAAUAUCGAUAUAUAGUUGCCGGUAAUUAUGAUGGAAUACAAAAAAUAUACACAAUUUACAGUUAUAGGCCAAGGGCAGAAAAGUUAUAACAAAUGAAAUAUGUGUUGUGUGUGUGUGUGUGUUUUGUAUAUAUGCAUAUAUGUGUGCGUAUAUAUGGAUGUAUACAUAUAUGCACAUAAGUUGGUAUAUAUUCUGUAGGAUAAUGUAACGUAUUUUUACAAACAAUACAUGUUCGUUUACUGUACUGGUAGUUAUCUCCUUAAUAGAUGUUACCGCUAAUUAAUUGGCCCCUCCUUACAAUGUUAUGUGUUUAUUGCCUGAUCCGACGAAGAUUUCUCAAAUUAUUCUGCCCU